AUAUUCGGAUUUCGGUCUUAGGUAUCCGUCCUUGUCUCCGGGAAUAUUAUACCCACACAAGUUGUCAACAUCCGUUUUCAAAUUGUUCAAAGUGUUCUUCACAAUCUCCCUGGAAAAUAUUCACGCUAUCACUUCGUGCUCAGAUAAUAGAACAUUGUAAACCUCUAACAGCAAAUACGGACCAAAAUUAAACAAAUUUGAAAGCACGGAUGAUCACGUGUAAUGCCGACUGAUGGAGAAAGAUGUUCACUAUGGAUCAAAAUUUCAAAACAGAGGACCUUUUUAUUCAAACAAAAAUACUUGUACAUGUAUGAUAUUCUGUACAUACAACAAGAAAACAGUAAUCAAAUGGAAUGUCCAGUGAUGUUGAAAGCAAAAUUAUUUUUGUUAACAGAAAACAAUAGGACUACAAUAUAUUAAGGUACACAACACAUCAUGUCAGAAGAAUAAUUUUACUGGAGAAUAAAAAAUUUAAUACCUGGAAUCAGCAAUUUACAAAAUGUAUAUGAAACUUAUUAAGGAUGUUCGCUCCUCUUGUUUUUGAAUUUUUGCCAGAUAUUCGGAAUCCUCUGGUUUUAUCCAUGUAGUGCCAUUACAAAUUUUUGCCCACUAACCCCUAAUUUUCUUUUCAUAAUUUGAUUAAAUAUAGUUUUAAAUACCAUCUUUGAAAAUCUUUUUAAAUCCUUGUUAUUUUUUCAUACUUUUAUGCAGAAAAAAGGUGCCAAUGUUAAAUGCAUGAAAAAUCUAGAGAGAAUCAUUUCCCGCCAAAUUUUCAAUGGCUUAUAUCUCGAAAACAAGCACACAGACCUUUCAUUUUUAUCUGCUUUUUUAGUUCCUUUAUUUAUAUACUGUCAAUUUAUAACAGUCUUUUAAAAAGCUUAUUAUUUUGAAACAGAGUAGCGAACAUCCUUAAGAGAGAUAUAUUCAUGUACAGAAUGGUAACCCCACCAAAUAACCCAGGUGGUUCAAGUGAUUAUUAGCAGACAUUUUUGUUGAACUAAUGCAGGAUUAAAUAAAUGAAGCUUUAGCAGACUAUGGGCUCCAAAGUGUAGUAAAAAGAGGAUUUUUAAAUAUGUGAGACCCAUCAACAUUAAAAUGCGCAUAAGUGAAAUGUUACAAUAUUUAGUAAAAAAUUCAGAUUAUUGACUCAGUUGUUUUCAUGAAUUUUUUUAUCAAAGCAAUAUCACUGUUAUAUAAUUAAUAAGAUUCCAUAUG
Long non-coding RNA from Mytilus californianus (California mussel), 1215 nucleotides. RefSeq lists it as uncharacterized. The record is from RefSeq and is a predicted model, not a curated record. NCBI's taxonomy places the organism in Eukaryota, Metazoa, Mollusca, Bivalvia, Mytilida, Mytilidae. The transcript has 3 exons.